RNAcentral lists this ribosomal RNA (493 nucleotides) under marine proteobacterium 'Tomales Bay 14-24'. RNAcentral's name for it is "bacterial SSU rRNA". It matches the Rfam family "Bacterial small subunit ribosomal RNA", at positions 30 to 508 of the family's 1533-position model. Lineage: Bacteria; Pseudomonadati; Pseudomonadota; Gammaproteobacteria; Vibrionales; Vibrionaceae. The record is from RNAcentral.
AUUGAACGCUGGCGGCAGGCCUAACACAUGCAAGUCGAGCGGUAACAUUUCAAAAGCUUGCUUUUGGAGAUGACGAGCGGCGGACGGGUGAGUAAUGCCUGGGAAAUUGCCCUGAUGUGGGGGAUAACCAUUGGAAACGAUGGCUAAUACCGCAUAGUAGCUUCGGCUUAAAGAGGGGGACCUUCGGGCCUCUCGCGUCAGGAUAUGCCCAGGUGGGAUUAGCUAGUUGGUGAGGUAAUGGCUCACCAAGGCGACGAUCCCUAGCUGGUCUGAGAGGAUGAUCAGCCACACUGGAACUGAGACACGGUCCAGACUCCUACGGGAGGCAGCAGUGGGGAAUAUUGCACAAUGGGCGCAAGCCUGAUGCAGCCAUGCCGCGUGUGUGAAGAAGGCCUUCGGGUUGUAAAGCACUUUCAGUCGUGAGGAAGGGUGUGUAUUUAAUAGAUGCGCACUUUGACGUUAGCGACAGAAGAAGCACCGGCUAACUCCGUGC